RNAcentral lists this ribosomal RNA (540 nucleotides) under Triticum aestivum (bread wheat). RNAcentral describes it as "partial small subunit ribosomal RNA". The record is from RNAcentral. Lineage: Eukaryota; Viridiplantae; Streptophyta; Magnoliopsida; Poales; Poaceae.
AUGGUCGAAGGCUCGGAGAUGGACAUCGCCAAUCUCAAAUUCCUCCUCCUUUGCUUUCAGCAGAUGUCGGGCCUCAAGAUCAAUUUUGAUAAGAGCGAUGUUAUGGUGAUGGGAUACUCUCCCGAGGAGUCAGUGGCCAUUGCCAAUAGACUCAAUUGCCGCUUGGGCUCGUUUCCUUCUACCUAUCUGGGGACGCCCAUCAGUCACUCGCGCCUCUUGGCCGCCGAUCUUCGCCCCUCCGUGACCAAGCUCCAGACUAGAUGCGAGCCUUGGCAGGGGAGGUGGCUGUCCAAGGCGGCCAGGACUAUUCUUAUCAACUCCUCCCUCUCCAGUCUCCUCUUAUUUCUUAUGAGUCUCUACAGCCUUCACGAUUCUCUUCAUAAGGAGAUCGCCAAAAUCCAGUCCCGCUUCUAUUGGGCUGGGGAGCACGGCAAGCAGAAGUAUCACAUGGUCAGCUGGCCUGACAUCUGCAAGCCGAGGGAGCAGGGGGGUUUGGGGAUCAUGUGCUCCAAACGGAUGAAUAUUGCCCUCCUCUCCUGA